Molecule: ribosomal RNA, 160 nt
Filed under: Neofusicoccum parvum
Lineage: Eukaryota; Fungi; Ascomycota; Dothideomycetes; Botryosphaeriales; Botryosphaeriaceae
Also listed under: 1 other name
Description: 5.8S ribosomal RNA
Rfam family: 5.8S ribosomal RNA
About the family: 5.8S ribosomal RNA (5.8S rRNA) is a component of the large subunit of the eukaryotic ribosome. It is transcribed by RNA polymerase I as part of the 45S precursor that also contains 18S and 28S rRNA.
Source: RNAcentral
UAAAACUUUCAACAACGGAUCUCUUGGUUCUGGCAUCGAUGAAGAACGCAGCGAAAUGCGAUAAGUAAUGUGAAUUGCAGAAUUCAGUGAAUCAUCGAAUCUUUGAACGCACAUUGCGCCCCUUGGUAUUCCGAGGGGCAUGCCUGUUCGAGCGUCAUUU